GACGAACGCUGGCGGCGUGCUUAACACAUGCAAGUCGAACGGAAAGGCCCUGCUUUUGUGGGGUGCUCGAGUGGCGAACGGGUGAGUAACACGUGAGUAACCUGCCCUUGACUUUGGGAUAACUUCAGGAAACUGGGGCUAAUACCGGAUAGGAGCUCCUGCUGCAUGGUGGGGGUUGGAAAGUUUCGGCGGUUGGGGAUGGACUCGCGGGUUAUCAGCUUGUUGGUGGGGUAGUGGCUUACCAAGGCUUUGACGGGUAGCCGGCCUGAGAGGGUGACCGGCCACAUUGGGACUGAGAUACGGCCCAGACUCCUACGGGAGGCAGCAGUGGGGAAUAUUGCACAAUGGGCGGAAGCCUGAUGCAGCAACGCCGCGUGCGGGAUGACGGCCUUCGGGUUGUAAACCGCUUUCGACUGUGACGAAGCGUGAGUGACGGUAAUGGGUAAAGAAGCACCGGCUAACUACGUG
RNAcentral lists this ribosomal RNA (468 nucleotides) under uncultured bacterium. RNAcentral describes it as "partial 16S ribosomal RNA". It matches the Rfam family "Bacterial small subunit ribosomal RNA", at positions 28 to 507 of the family's 1533-position model. The record is from RNAcentral.